Molecule: ribosomal RNA, 253 nt
Filed under: uncultured bacterium
Lineage: Bacteria
Description: partial 16S ribosomal RNA
Rfam family: Bacterial small subunit ribosomal RNA
Source: RNAcentral
UACGGAGGUUGCAAGCGUUGUUCGGAAUUACUGGGCGUAAAGGGAGCGCAGGCGGCUUGGCCAGUCUGAAGUGGAAUCCCACGGCUUAACCGUGGACGUGCUUUGGAUACUACCAAGCUUGAGUACGUGAGAGGAAGGCGGAAUUCCAGGUGUAGCGGUGAAAUGCGUAGAUAUCUGGAGGAACACCGGUGGCGAAGGCGGCCUUCUGGCGCGCUACUGACGCUGAGGCUCGAAAGCGUGGGGAGCGAACGGG